ACGAACGCUGGCGGCGUGCUUAACACCUGCAAGUCGCACGGAAAGGCCCUGCUUGCAGGGUACUCGAGUGGCGAACGGGUGAGUAACACGUGGGUGAUCUGCCCUGCACUUCGGGAUAAGCCUGGGAAACUGGGUCUAAUACCGGAUAGGAGCCAUUUUUAGUGUGAUGGUUGGAAAGUUUUUUCGGUGUAGGAUGAGCUCGCGGCCUAUCAGCUUGUUGGUGGGGUAAUGGCCUACCAAGGCGGCGACGGGUAGCCGGCCUGAGAGGGUGGACGGCCACAUUGGGACUGAGAUACGGCCCAGACUCCUACGGGAGGCAGCAGUGGGGAAUAUUGCACAAUGGGCGCAAGCCUGAUGCAGCGACGCCGCGUGGGGGAUGACGGACUUCGGGUUGUAAACUCCUUUCGCUAGGGACGAAGCUUUUUGUGACGGUACCUAGAUAAGAAGCACCGGCUAACUACGUG
Molecule: ribosomal RNA, 464 nt
Filed under: uncultured bacterium
Lineage: Bacteria
Description: partial 16S ribosomal RNA
Rfam family: Bacterial small subunit ribosomal RNA
Source: RNAcentral